AUAUAUAAUAUCAAACCCUCUUUGUUGAGCGGUUUGGAUGUGGGGGUUUUGCUGGCCUUUUAAAAGGUUCAGCUCUCCUGAAAUGCAUUAGCGGAACAGCCUGUUUGUUCAUUGGUGUGAUAACUAUCUACGCUAUUGAAUGUGAGGGGCAGUUCAGCUUUCUAACAGUCCUUGGACAAUUCAUCAUUA
This 189-nucleotide unclassified non-coding RNA is filed under the name uncultured Cortinarius. RNAcentral's name for it is "sequence contains ITS2". The record is from RNAcentral. Lineage: Eukaryota; Fungi; Basidiomycota; Agaricomycetes; Agaricales; Cortinariaceae.